CAAGGAAGCAUGAAAAAUAAUAAGUACUGCUAAUCCUUAUUAACCAAGGUUAAACUCCUUGGCUCCCUU
This 69-nucleotide transfer RNA is filed under the name Garra qiaojiensis. Its description in RNAcentral is "tRNA-Ser". The record is from RNAcentral. Lineage: Eukaryota; Metazoa; Chordata; Actinopteri; Cypriniformes; Cyprinidae.